GUCUACGGCCAUGCUACCCUGAACAAGCCCAAUCUCAUCGGAUCUUGGAAGCUAAGCAGGGUUGGGCAUGGUUAGUACUUGAAUGGGAGACCACCUAGGAAGACCAGGUACUGUAGGCA
This 119-nucleotide ribosomal RNA is filed under the name Pteropus alecto (black flying fox). The record is from RNAcentral. Lineage: Eukaryota; Metazoa; Chordata; Mammalia; Chiroptera; Pteropodidae.